Molecule: ribosomal RNA, 550 nt
Filed under: uncultured bacterium
Lineage: Bacteria
Description: bacterial SSU rRNA
Rfam family: Bacterial small subunit ribosomal RNA
Source: RNAcentral
UAGGGAAUCUUCGGCGAUGGACGGAAGUCUGACCGAGCAACGCCGCGUGAGUGAAGAAGGUUUUCGGAUCGUAAAGCUCUGUUGUAAGAGAAGAACGAGUGUGAGAGUGGAAAGUUCACACUGUGACGGUAUCUUACCAGAAAGGGACGGCUAACUACGUGCCAGCAGCCGCGGUAAUACGUAGGUCCCGAGCGUUAUCCGGAUUUAUUGGGCGUAAAGCGAGCGCAGGCGGUUAGAUAAGUCUGAAGUUAAAGGCUGUGGCUUAACCAUAGUACGCUUUGGAAACUGUUUAACUUGAGUGCAGAAGGGGAGAGUGGAAUUCCAUGUGUAGCGGUGAAAUGCGUAGAUAUAUGGAGGAACACCGGUGGCGAAAGCGGCUCUCUGGUCUGUAACUGACGCUGAGGCUCGAAAGCGUGGGGAGCAAACAGGAUUAGAUACCCUGGUAGUCCACGCCGUAAACGAUGAGUGCUAGGUGUUGGGUCCUUUCCGGGACUCAGUGCCGCAGCUAACGCAUUAAGCACUCCGCCUGGGGAGUACGACCGCAAGGUUG